Molecule: long non-coding RNA, 435 nt
Filed under: Cucumis sativus (cucumber)
Lineage: Eukaryota; Viridiplantae; Streptophyta; Magnoliopsida; Cucurbitales; Cucurbitaceae
Description: long non-coding RNA (CSAT_LNC000756)
Source: RNAcentral
AGGAUUACUAGCUCUGGUUAUGGCGUUUCUAUAUCUGAUUCAAGAGGAGCCAAAAAAGGAACUUCUAACAGAGAAAAUGGGAUCACAUCAGGUCGGUCCAGGACGUUGAAUAAUGGGACGUCAAGAGCAAGAUCACAUGGCAACAGACCUGACAGAAACGGUACAUCUUUGCACGAGUCGCGGUCCAUGAUCUCUCAGGUGUCGCAAGACCAUCAACCUGACAGCUCUACAGAUAAUAUUACACAUGAAGUAUCUACCGAGUUGAUUCCAGACCACCCAAUUUCUUACAGAAGGUCAGAUAGUAUGAAUGAGAAUAUACUUAUUCAUAGACCUGCUAGUCCCGCAGACAUUGGAUUGGCUCGCUCUUUAACAACUCGAGACAGCUUUCGACAUUAUGGUAUUGCUGAGGUACAUUUCAUUUAUUUUGGCAAAGAU